UUGCUUCUUCAUGCCAAGUUGAGUCUACCAUGGAAGUUGAUGAUGAUUUAUCUGACUUUGAUGUAUUUGUUACAAGUAAUCAGACAAGCCAAGUUUCUGCUAAAAAGUCAGAAUUGGAUCGUUAUUUGGAAGAGGAUGUGAUACCGAGAGUUAAUCAAGACUUUGAUGUUUUAGCUUGGUGGAAAAAUGACAUGAAGUUCCAACUUUGAGGGUCAUUGCUAGGGAUGUGUUAUCUAUACCUGUUUCUACUGUUGUGUCCGAGUCUGCUUUCAGCACUAGUGGGAGGGUUGUGACUCCACAUCGUAGUAGGCUCCAUCCCAAGACAAUAGAAGCAUUGAUGUGCGCUCGUAGUUGGUUAUUGGCUCAAGAAUCUGAAGGUAAUAAUUCAAAUGAGUUUGCUUCGAUUCUUGAUGACAUGGAUGUUGAUAGCUCUCAGUCUUGUGUUACAAUGAUUGAAGACUGAUUUAGUAAGUUUAAUUAUGAAAUAUUUGUUGUCAUA
Rhododendron vialii is the source of this 499-nucleotide long non-coding RNA. RefSeq lists it as uncharacterized. The transcript has 2 exons. The record is from RefSeq and is a predicted model, not a curated record. NCBI's taxonomy places the organism in Eukaryota, Viridiplantae, Streptophyta, Magnoliopsida, Ericales, Ericaceae.